Non-coding RNA from Anas platyrhynchos (mallard), 952 nucleotides. The record is from RefSeq and is a predicted model, not a curated record. NCBI's taxonomy places the organism in Eukaryota, Metazoa, Chordata, Aves, Anseriformes, Anatidae.
AAUUAGCACCCGAAUGGGAGUGCCUCCCCCAGCUGCCUCUGGGCUCGUGAAGAGCCCAGAGCUAGGGAUAUAGGUGAAGGAGCCAGGAAGAGCUUUUCCUUGGGGGGUUUGUAUGGUGUGUCCUCACCUCUGUGUGCUCUGAAUAUACCCUUAGGCUGGGUUAGGCUGAACUGGACAGUAUCUGCACCAGAUUUUCUUUGCAACUGACUUAUUUGUGGUUUGGGUGCUCUUCAUAACGCUGCAGAGGGGAGCAGAGCCCUGCAAGGCAGUGCUGUCCGUGUGCUGCUGGCUGCUCGUGUACAUGGGUAGCACACCUGAUGCUUCGAGUCCAAGUCCAUCUGCACAAUUCCCUUCUUCCUGCUGUUACCUGAAGGAAACUCCUGCCUAGUAGUGGCCAGUCUCAGCAUCACAAGAGCUGGCUGGGGAGAUUGCUUCAUGCCAGGGCUGAAGGCAAAACCCAGGACCUGGUGCUCCGAUGGUUCCUCUGCCUGCACCGAUGCACAAACCUCUCCUCCUGGGCAGGACCCGGAGUGGAUGCAGAGCUCUGUGGCUGUGAGGAGUCCUCCUUCCACAAGGGCUCCAGAGCUUGGGAAGAGAGGAUUCAGACCCAGGGCACUACCUCAAACAGCUGCGACUUCCCCCAAACCUGGUUGCGGUUUUGUGUGGCUCAGCGUUAGAGUUACCCGUGGCUCGGUGACACCUGGAAAUGCAUUUGCCAGCUCGAUUGUUCCGACAAACCCAAUUACCGGCUGCUCAGGGAGCUCCCACCCCGCACUUAGCAGAGACGCAGCAUUGAUCCAGGGCGGAUUUUCCUGAGGCUGGGUUCAACAAGCAGCAUGCCCCUCGGGCUGGAUGUGACCUGAUGGAGAGCUCUAGCUAAAUGGAAACAAUUUGAACAGCUUUGUUGAAUUCUCAAUUAGCUUGCAAAUAAGGGAAUACCUGCAAAACUGAU